Molecule: long non-coding RNA, 582 nt
Organism: Pseudopipra pipra
Lineage: Eukaryota; Metazoa; Chordata; Aves; Passeriformes; Pipridae
Exons: 2
Source: RefSeq, a predicted model, not a curated record
GACGUUGCCAUGGCAGGAGGAUGCUGCCGUGGUGGGGAGGGGGCUGUGACAGGAGGAUCCUCUCGAGGUGGGAGGAUGCUGCCUCCACCAUGGAAGGAUCUUGCCGUGGCAGGAGGAUGCUGCUGAGGCAAGAGGAUGUUGUCGUGGGAGCAGAAGUGCUCGCUUGCAGGCUUGCAGCGUGAAAACCCCUGAGUGAUUAGCCAGAAGAGUUAAUUAUCCUGUCGUUAAGAGAAGAGGUGCUAAAGGGCCUCAGCGAUGGGCUCUUGGAGGGGAGGGCACCGGGUAUUUCUCAGGGGAGGGCACCGGGUGCUUCCCGGCGGGAUGGUGACUCCAACCUCCAUCCUGGAGGGGUGCAGGAUGCCAAGACGCUCCUCUGCCUGUGCAGGGAAGAGCUGGCAGAGCCUGUGUGGGAAGCUCCAUCCCCAGGAUUCAAACCAGAGGAGGAUCAAUAGAUUUAUCUGAGCGGAGGAACUCGGUCUGUCAGAGCAGCUGAAUUAUUUAUGGACCUGGAGGGGCCUUUCCCGGGAGGCUGCAGAGCAUCCACCUUCACAGCCACAAUUACAGCUCUCUUUACAAAACCAA